GCCCCUGUGGCCUAACGGACAAGGCAUUGGUUUCCUAAACCGAGGAUUGUGGAUUCAUGUCCCACCAGGGGUA
Molecule: transfer RNA, 73 nt
Filed under: Zootermopsis nevadensis
Lineage: Eukaryota; Metazoa; Arthropoda; Insecta; Blattodea; Termopsidae
Rfam family: tRNA
About the family: Transfer RNA (tRNA) molecules are approximately 80 nucleotides in length.
Source: Rfam by way of RNAcentral